This is a long non-coding RNA of Phragmites australis (common reed), 413 nucleotides long. RefSeq lists it as uncharacterized. Lineage: Eukaryota; Viridiplantae; Streptophyta; Magnoliopsida; Poales; Poaceae. The transcript has 4 exons. The record is from RefSeq and is a predicted model, not a curated record.
GGAAUCUGGGAAGAAAACAACCUCAAUUCAUGGGCCAAUAGUAGGAUAAAGGAUUUGCUGGGGUCUUUAGAUCCUUUGGAAUUCUCUACUGGGAAGGCAUCUGUUUAUGAAGUAUACAGAUGCUCAGGAGAUAGUAAAUUCUUAUCAAGAAUUGAAGGUUACCUCUCUUUACUGAAAUACCACUCAUGGGAGUGCCUUUUCAAGUGAAUGGUUAAUUAUGGAAGAAAACAAGAAGGUUAAAGGUCACCUGGAUAUUCCUGAAUUAUCAUUUGGCGAGCUUGAAGACUUGGAGGUAAAUAUAAGGUUCAGCUAUGACAAGGAUUUCUCGUCUGACGAGAAAGCGCAAAUUUGCAAGGAUUUGAAGUCAUUCGUUUCACCUAUUUAGGAUAAACUGCGCGAGUUGAAAAAGAGCU